AUUGAACGCUGGCGGCAUGCCUUACACAUGCAAGUCGAACGGCAGCACGGGUGCUUGCACCUGGUGGCGAGUGGCGAACGGGUGAGUAAUACAUCGGAACGUACCUUAUCGUGGGGGAUAACGCAGCGAAAGCUGUGCUAAUACCGCAUACGCCCUGAGGGGGAAAGCGGGGGAUCGCAAGACCUCGCGCGAUUAGAGCGGCCGAUGCCUGAUUAGCUUGUUGGGGGGGUAAAAGCCCACCAAGGCGACGAUCAGUAGCUGGUCUGAGAGGACGAUCAGCCACACUGGGACUGAGACACGGCCCAGACUCCUAUGGGAGGCAGCAGUGGGGAAUUUUGGACAAUGGGGGCAACCCUGAUCCAGCAAUGCCGCGUGAGUGAAGAAGGCCUUCGGGUUGUAAAGCUCUUUUGUCAGGGAAGAAACACCGGCUCUAACACAGUCCGGGAAUGACGGUACCUGAAGAAUAAGCACCGGCUAACUACGUGCCAGCCGCCGCCGUAA
This 501-nucleotide ribosomal RNA is filed under the name uncultured bacterium. RNAcentral describes it as "partial 16S ribosomal RNA". It matches the Rfam family "Bacterial small subunit ribosomal RNA", at positions 29 to 523 of the family's 1533-position model. The record is from RNAcentral.